RNAcentral lists this transfer RNA (68 nucleotides) under Uropsilus andersoni. RNAcentral's name for it is "tRNA-Phe". It matches the Rfam family "tRNA". From Rfam's summary of the family: Transfer RNA (tRNA) molecules are approximately 80 nucleotides in length. Their secondary structure includes four short double-helical elements and three loops (D, anti-codon, and T loops). The record is from RNAcentral. RNAcentral also lists the same sequence under 2 other names. Lineage: Eukaryota; Metazoa; Chordata; Mammalia; Eulipotyphla; Talpidae.
GUUAAUGUAGCUUAAAAAUAAAGCAAAGCACUGAAAAUGCUUAGAUGGGCCGAAUCGCCCCAUAAACA